RNAcentral lists this ribosomal RNA (357 nucleotides) under uncultured Funneliformis. Its description in RNAcentral is "SSU rRNA". It matches the Rfam family "Eukaryotic small subunit ribosomal RNA", at positions 569 to 929 of the family's 1831-position model. The record is from RNAcentral. Lineage: Eukaryota; Fungi; Glomeromycota; Glomeromycetes; Glomerales; Glomeraceae.
AUCACCCGCGGUAAUUCCAGCUCCAAUAGCGUAUAUUAAAGUUGUUGCAGUUAAAAAGCUCGUAGUUGAAUUUCGGGAUCAAUAUUUCGGUCAUGCCGUUGGUAUGCACUGUUAUCAUUGAUUUCUCACCUUCUAAAGAACCGUAAUGCCAUUAAUUUGGUGUUACGGGGAAUUAGGACUGUUACCUUGAAAAAAUUAGAGUGUUUAAAGCAGGCAAUCGCUUGAAUACAUUAGCAUGGAAUAAUGAAAUAGGACGUUCGAUCCUAUUUUGUUGGUUUCUAGGAUUGACGUAAUGAUUAAUAGGGAUAGUUGGGGGCAUUAGUAUUCAAUUGUCAGAGGUGAAAUUCUUGGAUUUAU